ACGGAGGUUGCAAGCGUUGUUCGGAAUAACUGGGCGUAAAGGGAGCGCAGGCGGCUUGGUAAGUCUAAAGUGAAAUUCCAGGGCUCAACCCUGGACGUGCUUUGGAUACUGCCUGGCUUGAGUACGUGAGAGGAGAUUGGAAUUCCAGGUGUAGCGGUGAAAUGCGUAGAUAUUGGGAGGAACACCAGUGGCGAAGGCGGCUCACUGGACUGGUACUGACGCUGAGGCGCGAAAGCGUGGGGAGCAAACGGGA
RNAcentral lists this ribosomal RNA (253 nucleotides) under uncultured prokaryote. RNAcentral describes it as "partial 16S ribosomal RNA". It matches the Rfam family "Bacterial small subunit ribosomal RNA", at positions 525 to 777 of the family's 1533-position model. The record is from RNAcentral.